Molecule: long non-coding RNA, 222 nt
Organism: Notothenia coriiceps (black rockcod)
Lineage: Eukaryota; Metazoa; Chordata; Actinopteri; Perciformes; Nototheniidae
Exons: 3
Source: RefSeq, a predicted model, not a curated record
AGAGAGGAGAGGAGGUGGGAGGCAGAAUUAAGUGUGACCUUUCAUGCAAAAAAGAGAGAGGAGAGGAGAUGAGAGGGCAGUAUGAAGCUCAAGAUCUCGUGCAAAAGUCUUUUUGUGUGAGGAGAUGAGGAAAGAAGCUAAAAAGCUGAAUCGGGAAAUGUAGUGAGAAGAAGAGAAGAUGGAAGCGCAAUAUAAAGUGAAAACAUAUCAUUAAUUGACUUA